Molecule: ribosomal RNA, 1224 nt
Filed under: metagenome
Description: SSU rRNA
Rfam family: Eukaryotic small subunit ribosomal RNA
Source: RNAcentral
AAUCCUUUAACGAGGAACUAUUGGAGGGCAAGUCUGGUGCCAGCAGCCGCGGUAAUUCCAGCUCCAAUAGCGUAUAUUAAAGUUGUUGCGUCUAAAAAGCUCGUAGUUUGAAAACUUGCCUUGGCUUACAACAGACGUCUAAGGGCGUCACCGUUUGUCGAGAGCAAAUAUGGGUGACUGUUCUUGCCUUCUUCACUGAUUGGCUCGUAAAAGUCAUCGAAGAUCACUUUGAUUAAAUUAGGGUGCUCAAAGCAAGUGUGCUACUUGAAUAUGAAUGCAUGGAAUGAUGGAAUAUGUUGUUGUUCUAUUUGUUGGUUUUUUGAAUGACGAAAUGAUUGAAAGGAACUGUUGGGGGCAUUCGUAUUGUUGUGAGAGAGGUGAAAUUCUUAGACCAUAGCAAGACGAACUACUGCGAAAGCAUUUGCCAAGAAUGUUUUCAUUGAUCAAGAACGAAAGUUAGAGGUUCGAAGGCGAUCAGAUACCGCCCUAGUUCUAACCAUAAACUAUGCCGACUAGCAAUUUGCUUUGUAUUUUUAUGACUAAGUGAGAGGCCACGGGAAACCAAAGUAGGGUUAUGGGGGAAGUAUGGUUGCAAAGCUGAAACUUAAAGGAAUUGACGGAAGGGCACCACCAGGAGUGGAGCCUGCGGCUUAAUUUGACUCAACACGGGAAAACUUACCUGGUCCUGACACUAGAAGGAUUGACAGAUUGAUAGCUCUUUCUUGAUUUGGUGGAUGGUGGUGCAUGGCCGUUCUUAGUUGGUGGAGUGAUUUGUCUGGUUAAUUCCGAUAACGAACGAGACUCUAGCCUAUUAAAUAAUAUGCGGAAUCAAUUUCUCCCGCGUUAUUUCUUAAUGGGAUCAAGCGUGUUUAACGCUUUGAAACAGAGCAAUAACAGGUCUGUGAUGCCCUUAGAUGUUCGGGGCUGCACGCGCGCUACAUUGAAGAACAAAGUGAGCCCUCUGGCUUUUAACAAAGCUAGAAAUCUUUUAAUGUUCUUCUUAAUGGGGAUAGGGGAUUGCAAUUGUGCCCCUUGAACGAGGAAUUCCCAGUAAGUGCUAGUCAUUAGCUAGUACUGAUUACGUCCCUGCCCUUUGUACACACCGCCCGUCGCUACUACCGAUUGAAUAGUUUAGUGAGAUCAUCUGAGUGUUUGUAUGUGCAUUCUGUGCUUGUAUGGUGUACGAAGAAGAUCAAACUUGAUUAUUUAGAGGAAGUAAAAGUC